This 470-nucleotide ribosomal RNA is filed under the name uncultured Alphaproteobacteria bacterium. RNAcentral describes it as "bacterial SSU rRNA". It matches the Rfam family "Bacterial small subunit ribosomal RNA", at positions 9 to 524 of the family's 1533-position model. The record is from RNAcentral. Lineage: Bacteria; Pseudomonadati; Pseudomonadota; Alphaproteobacteria.
GAGUUUGAUCGUGGCUCAGAACGAACGCUGGCGGCAUGCCUAACACAUGCAAGUCGAACGAGACCUUCGGGUCUAGUGGCGCACGGGUGCGUAACGCGUGGGAAUCUGCCCUUUGCUUCGGAAUAACUCAGGGAAACUUGAGCUAAUACCGGAUAAUGUCGCAAGACCAAAGAUUUAUCGGCAAAGGAUGAGCCCGCGUAGGAUUAGCUUGUUGGUGGGGUAAUGGCCUACCAAGGCGACGAUCCUUAGCUGGUCUGAGAGGAUGAUCAGCCACACUGGGACUGAGACACGGCCCAGACUCCUACGGGAGGCAGCAGUGGGGAAUAUUGGACAAUGGGCGAAAGCCUGAUCCAGCAAUGCCGCGUGAGUGAUGAAGGCCCUAGGGUUGUAAAGCUCUUUUACCAGGGAUGAUAAUGACAGUACCUGGAGAAUAAGCUCCGGCUAAACUCCGUGCCAGCCGCCGCUGUACC